Small nucleolar RNA from Catharus ustulatus (Swainson's thrush), 73 nucleotides. The record is from Ensembl. Lineage: Eukaryota; Metazoa; Chordata; Aves; Passeriformes; Turdidae.
CUGCCAUGAUGGGAAUAUUUUUCGUCAACAGCAUCUCACCCUGUGUGAAUGGUGACUCCUCUGGGCUGAGCAG